Molecule: long non-coding RNA, 2675 nt
Filed under: Triticum aestivum (bread wheat)
Lineage: Eukaryota; Viridiplantae; Streptophyta; Magnoliopsida; Poales; Poaceae
Description: long non-coding RNA (TAES_LNC009396)
Source: RNAcentral
UCCUCUGUCCCGUGCGGGAGCAGGACGAGGAAGAAGAAGACAGGGGCCAGGCGGGCCCUCUUCUCAUCGCGGGCCCCGCGUGGCAGCCUCAGCCCCGUUGACCCAGGUACGCUGACGUGGAUAAGUGGAGGCGUAAUCCACAGAUUACGUCUUCGUUUCCCGAAAGCAUAGUUUCGUCUUUCUUUAGACCAGAAUGCGCUUUCGCUAAUCUGAAAGCGUAUUUCUUUUCUGUUUCAGCGUGGAAUGCGUUUUCCAGAGGAGAAGGCGUAUUUCUGCCUAGUGCACAUUCUGUUUUUCCGGCUGAGGGCCUGUUUGUGAUGAUUUUAUUACAAAUGGGUCCCUGGCAGAAAAACUAUCAUAUCUUUUCACUCCCAACUCCAAAUGAGGUGAAUCCAAAGCCCACUUCUUCGUUUCGUCGAGCCCGUUCUGAUGGCAUCAUUUUCACCAUGUUUUGACAUUCUGAAAAUGACCAUUUUACCCCUGCCCUUUUUCAGCCCCCUUCGAGAGAGUACGUUUACCGGUGAUUCUUUCCGCGAGCCUCUCACACUUCUUCUCGGAGAUUUCUGCCACCCCAGGCAAGCCACACCCUCCAUUUGCAUGAUUGCAAUGCAGUGACAUGGUUUAUUCAUUUGAACUUGCUUAAAAUAUUGCAUUAGCUAUGUAUGACUUGUUCAUGCCAUUUCCCGGAGUAUUGUUUUGAUCUUGAUAUUGCCACGAUGUUGCUUGGAGUUCUAGGAUUAAUAUUUUGAUGAUUAUGUGGAUGACAUGUGCCUUUGGAUUCUUAGUGGUUAUUAUGAUUAUUUUUCAUGAUGGUAUCUGUUAUUAUAUUUUGGAGUAUUACUUUGGAUAUCAUGCUGCCUUUGGAUUAUUAGUGGUUAGUAUGAUUAUUUUCAUGAUGCUAGUUGAUGUUCUGUUGCUUGGAGUAUUAUUUUCGGAGAUGAUGUUUACAUGUGGAUCUUAGCCGAAUAGCUUUAUUCUUGUUAUUGGAGUAGUAGGAUUAUUGUUUUCGGAUUCAUCAUGACCAUAGUGUUGUGCUACCCUUGGAGUAUUUUGAGAUGAUGAUAUUAUGCGUGGAUUAUUUGUUGGAUAUUGCUAUGAUUUGGCUUAUAGUUUGAUAGUUGAUAUCGGAGUAUCAGUUACCACAGUUAUAUUUUGGGGAUAAAUUCCGUCAUUAAGUUGGUCAGGUGCCACCGAACCGGGCUUUUUCGAGUGCAACCACAUUUGCCUUUUAUGGGAAGGCCCUAAUGCGGUCUAUUGGCGUGCCUCUCGUCGGUGCCUCCAACUAGGGAAGGUUAUGGGCAUGCUUACCCUGGCCCGGUAAGCAGACAUAACCUUGUGUGCCCGUUGUUAUUGUUAUGGAUCCGGUCCCCGUGAGGGACGUUUUGGCCACGACGGUGGUCGUUGUGUGUUUGGUAGACACGGGGCCACCCAGGACUAGCCCAGUUGGGAGCGGGUCGGAGUGGCCGGGAGAGUGUCAUGGCAGUAGAUCGGUUUUGUCGGAACGCCGUUGGUCCACCCGAAUGGGAGUGCGAGGCCAUGGGUUCCGUGGUGUGGGUAAAGUGCGCUACCUCUGCAGAGUGUGUGUAUUUAAAUCUAUCGAUAGCCACGUCCUCGGUCAUGGGCAUGGGUUCGUACUAGGUCCCACCGUUCGAUCAACACUCACAUGACGGAAUGACUUGUAGGUGAUUUAUAUGAUGAUAUAUUGUGAGCAGUAACAGUUUGGCAGGAUGUUGAUGAUGAUGUUGGAGACCAAGUGUUGGUCAUGGUUGUGAUCGCCGGAAAGAUCAUAGUUUGAGACCAAGUGUUGGUCAUGGUAGUGAUCGCCGGAAAGAUCACCAUGUGGUUUUGAUCAUGAGUUGAUCGAGAUGGUAUAUUGCUUGGCCGGUUAGCCACGAGAGAUAUGGUUAUGGAGAUCUGAGAUGGUGAUUUAUCAGCAUUGUAUUAGUUUCAUCUCAUGCUUAGUAGUUGCUUCAUCAUGGUAGUUGUUAAUUAAUUAACCUGCUUAAUGCUAUGUUAUUGUCUUGCCUUGAUGUUUAUGGUUGUUGUGAGCUUGCAAGUACAUUCAAUGUACUGACCUGGCGUGUCAUGCCAGAUUGCAGGAGAUGCCGUGAUUGCUUGAUUGCUUGUCGAGGUUGCCAUGCGUGCGAGCUAGAUCGUGUCCCAGCCAGAGUCCCUGCGGAGUGGAGUUCACCACCUUCGUCAUUGUUCCGCUGCUAGAAGUUUUCCGCUGCUACGAGUUGUUUCGCUGCUAGCAUAGAGCAAGUGUAGUAUCGCUGGCGUAGUGUCGCCAAGCUGAUGUGCUUCUUUGUAACAUCAGACCCUUGUAUUAUUAUUCUUGUAAUAAGAGCUGAUUUGUUCUAUGUCAAGCAGUGCCGUAUUCCAGAGACUUCUCCUCGAUCUCUGGGCUGGAAUACGGGGCGUUGCGGUUUCUCUGAGCCAGGGUGCCACAGCCUUGUCUUCUCCUGUUUAUUGAAUGCUUGCAAAUUCCAGCUUAGUCCAAUGCACGUGCACUAUUAUUAUUAUUCACAUCGUUCGGUCGUGCAAGUGAAAGGCAAUAAUGACGAUAUAUGAUGGACUGAUUGAGAUGAGAGAAGCUGGUAUGAACUCGACCUCUCUUGUUUUUGUAAAUAUGAUUAGUUCAUCGUUCCUGAUUCAGCCUAUUAUGAAUAAAAAUG